GGCAUUGUAGGUAGCGGUUAGAACGCUGGCCUUGUAAUCCUGGUCUCUCGGGUUCGAUUCCCGGCGGUGCCC
RNAcentral lists this transfer RNA (72 nucleotides) under Zootermopsis nevadensis. It matches the Rfam family "tRNA". Rfam says of the family: Transfer RNA (tRNA) molecules are approximately 80 nucleotides in length. Their secondary structure includes four short double-helical elements and three loops (D, anti-codon, and T loops). The record is from Rfam by way of RNAcentral. Lineage: Eukaryota; Metazoa; Arthropoda; Insecta; Blattodea; Termopsidae.